UCUGGCCUAAUUUCAUAAACAAUUAACGCAGACAUACCUUCAGAAAGCGGAAGAACGAAAACAGGAAGCUUGAAGUAAAAAAAAAGAGACAGAGAAGGGAGAAGGGGGAAUCGAAGGAGAAGAGAGGGGAAGGAAGUCGCCGCGCCCUGUACACUCGUCGCCGCUGUUACGUGAAGUCCGCCCUGGUGCCGGUUGAACAGGGAUGAGGGAGAGGUGUCGAGAGAGAUUGACGGAGAUGUUCACGUCGUUCGUCCUCGUCGCUGCCAUGCGUUGCCGCCGCUGCCAUGCGUUGCCGCCGCUGCCGUUAGUUCCACUGCCGUCGAGCUUGAAGGAGAAAGGGAGAACGACGCUGAGAGAGACAGAUUGAUGGAAGCCAAUAAAGCACAUGAGAGAAGGGAAGCCGAUUCUGUCACCGCCGCUGUACCCAGUCGCCGUCAGUGGAGCUCGCCGUCGCUGGAGGUGAACUGGUAUCGCGUCCUUGCUACCAGAGCCACGAAUGCCACUACUACUCCUCAAAUUACGCCCCUCUUCCAUUAGGGUUUGAUAUCUCAGACCCUUUGAAGCUACUGCCGUUCUGUUAAGGGUUCCGGCCGUGAAUGCUAGCACCAGCAUCACCAUCCUUCUUGUCUUGGUCUCAAUUUUGUAAUUUCUGAACCUAUCAUGCUUUUACCUUUGUUUUAUUCCAAUUUUGUUGAUAUCUGCCAAGUUGUUCUAAUUUCAUCAGUAUACAUACAUCUCUGUUUGAGUGUUUUACUGUUUUGUAAUUGCUGGAUUUAGUCUAAAAUUUUUGUCAAAAACUUUAAUAAGAGCCUUGCCCUUAACUUGUUUUACUGUUACCACAUUCAAGAACUUUAAUAAGAGCAUUAAGUUCAUCAGUUUCUGCUUUCCAGCUGGUAGUCAUUCCUGCUUCUCAGCCACCAGAAAUUUCUGCAUCACGAGCCCUCAGAGUGGCAAAGGAAUAUGAUGCAAAAUCCUCUAGAACAGUUGGUGUUAUCAGUAAAAUUGAUAAGGCUGCUGCAGAACCAAAAGCUCUUGCAGCAGUGCAGGCUCUCCUAUUAAACCAGGGACCCCCCAAAACAUCUGAUAUUCCAUGGGUUUCUUUGAUUGGCCAAUCUAUAUCUAUAGCUUCUGCACAGUCUGGGAGUGCAGCAUCUGAGAACUCUUUGGAAACUGCUUGGCGAGCAGAGACUGAAAGUUUGAAAUCAAUAUUGACUGGAGCUCCUCCAAACAAGCUUCGGAGAGUUGCCUUGGUUGAGUCUCUUGUUGGACAGAUUCGCAACCGCAUGAAACUAAGGGUUCCAACUCUUCUCACUGGGCUUGCCAUCUACUUUGCUUUUAUCCAAAGAACUAUUGGGGGAUUUUGAAGCUUGUGCUGAAAUGUUUAUACCACAGGAGCAGGAGGACAUGAUGUGAAGAAAAUAUGUUCUACACAAAUAUAAGAUGGGAUGAGUCUUAUAAUGAUUUUGGUUAUCUAAAUGUAUUAUUUUGAUGUGUUCUUUACUUUUUGAUAAGAGAUUUUAUCCGAUAUUACAUGUAAUGGAUAAAUUACAUCUUGUUUUGAUUAGUGUUGUAAUGGAUAUCUAGUUUUUAAUAAAACUUUUAUGAUUUAGAUUGAUUGAAUUUCUCAAUUUUAGA
This is an RNA transcript of Arachis stenosperma, 1635 nucleotides long. It is a transcript of the gene named dynamin-2B-like, with no coding region annotated. The transcript is spliced from 4 exons. Lineage: Eukaryota; Viridiplantae; Streptophyta; Magnoliopsida; Fabales; Fabaceae. The record is from RefSeq and is a predicted model, not a curated record.